This 468-nucleotide ribosomal RNA is filed under the name uncultured bacterium. RNAcentral's name for it is "partial 16S ribosomal RNA". It matches the Rfam family "Bacterial small subunit ribosomal RNA", at positions 28 to 507 of the family's 1533-position model. The record is from RNAcentral.
GACGAACGCUGGCGGCGUGCUUAACACAUGCAAGUCGAACGGAAAGGCCCUGCUUUUGUGGGGUGCUCGAGUGGCGAACGGGUGAGUAACACGUGAGUAACCUGCCCUUGACUUUGGGAUAACUUCAGGAAACUGGGGCUAAUACCGGAUAGGAGCUCCUGCUGCAUGGUGGGGGUUGGAAAGUUUCGGCGGUUGGGGAUGGACUCGCGGCUUAUCAGCUUGUUGGUGGGGUAGUGGCUUACCAAGGCUUUGACGGGUAGCCGGCCUGAGAGGGGGACCGGCCACAUUGGGACUGAGAUACGGCCCAGACUCCUACGGGAGGCAGCAGUGGGGAAUAUUGCAGAAUGGGCGGAAGCCUGAUGCAGCAACGCCGCGUGCGGGAUGACGGCCUUCGGGUUGUAAACCGCUGUCGCCGGUGACGAAGCGUGAGUGACGGUAAUGGGUAAAGAAGCACCGGCUAACUACGUG